This 833-nucleotide ribosomal RNA is filed under the name Sphaerosporella brunnea. Its description in RNAcentral is "eukaryotic LSU rRNA". It matches the Rfam family "Eukaryotic large subunit ribosomal RNA", at positions 73 to 911 of the family's 3401-position model. Lineage: Eukaryota; Fungi; Ascomycota; Pezizomycetes; Pezizales; Pyronemataceae. The record is from RNAcentral.
GAUUGCCUCAGUAACUGCGAGUGAAGCGGCAAAAGCUCAAAUUUGAAAUCUGGCCUCAUCUCGGGGUCCGAGUUGUAAUUUGGAGGGGCAUCUUCGGGGUCGGCGCCGUCCUAAGUUCCUUGGAACAGGACGUCACAGAGGGUGAGAAUCCCGUGCCUGGGCGGCUGCCCGAUUCCAUGUGAAGUGCCUGCGACGAGUCGAGUUGUUUGGGAAUGCAGCUCAAAAUGGGUGGUAAAUUUCAUCUAAAGCUAAAUAUUGGCGAGAGACCGAUAGCGCACAAGUAGAGUGAUCGAAAGAUGAAAAGCACUUUGAAAAGAGAGUCAAAAAGUACGUGAAAUUGUUGAAAGGGAAGCGCUUGCGACCAGACUCGGCCUUGACCGGGGGGUUACCGGGCUUCGGCCCGGGCUCAUCUCCCCCCCCUUGGCGGGGCCAGCACCGGUUCCGGCGGCGGGAUAAAAGGCGAGAGAAUGUGGCUCCCUUCGGGGAGUGUUAUAGCCCUCGUCACAAUGCCGCCAGCUGGGACCGUGGAUCGCGCUUUAGCGAGGAUGCUGGUGUAAUGGUCUUAAGCGACCCGUCUUGAAACACGGACCAAGGAGUCUAACAUCUAUGCGAGUGUUCGGGUGGAAAACCCUUGCGCGUAAUGAAAGUGAACGGAGGUGGGAACCCCUCACGGGGUGCACCAUCGACCGGUCCUGAUGUCUUCGGAAGGAUCUGAGUAAGAGCAUAGCUGUUGGGACCCGAAAGAUGGUGAACUAUGCCUGAAUAGGGUGAAGCCAGAGGAAACUCUGGUGGAGGCUCGCAGCGGUUCUGACGUGCAAAUCGAUCGUCAAAUU